Long non-coding RNA from Austrofundulus limnaeus, 814 nucleotides. RefSeq lists it as uncharacterized. Lineage: Eukaryota; Metazoa; Chordata; Actinopteri; Cyprinodontiformes; Rivulidae. The transcript has 4 exons. The record is from RefSeq and is a predicted model, not a curated record.
CCAGAGGAGAAUGAAGACCACCUAAUUUUAAUUGGUAAGUCCAGACCUUAUUCGGCAGUUUCAAUGCAUAUACUGUAACAUAGAAAAUGUCACAGAAAACAGAGACAACUGAACAGGUUUCAACAUAUGACCCAAACAGGAAAUAAAGAUAUCUAUGCAGCAAUGAGAGAAACUAAAUUCAACUUUACUUCACUCCUAGAGACUCCAUACAGACAAGGCUCAGAGCUCAGCAGAACAGCGGAGCUGAGAAACCAGACCAGGAGCCAGGUAAAAAGGUAAGUGAUUUUAUUUUUAUUUACAGGUGAGGAUCGGGAUGUCUUGCUGAAAGAGGAGUGAAGCGCAGAGGUAAGUAUUUGUUCUUGAAUGAAUAUUGUCAAUGUUGAGAAGUUAUUAAAGUUUGUUGUUCUUACAGGUUCUUUGGAGGUGAGCAGCAUGGACCAGAGGAGAGUUUCCAAACAGGGAGGAAUCCUUGAGCGGUGAGCGACCAGACUGAAGGUUCCGGAAAACUUGACACCUUGGGUACAAGAGAGCAUGAAGUCGGAUCGCUUCGACAGCCUCCCCAUCAGGAGCUGGCUUCAUUUAGGUGCCUGGAAGGAAUUAAAAGGGAGGCGACAUCAAAUCAAAUGGACAUUUAGGAACUUCAGGGAUGACACCUCAAAAAAACGAUAAAAAGAAGAAAGAAAAGAAGAGUCAAAGACACACAUUUAGCCUCGUUAGCAGCUCAUUUGACUUUUAAAAGUUAAUGGUCAUUAGUGUCUGAAAAUAUGUACCUUGAAUGUUCCUAAAAGUUCCUUACAUUUUAAUAAAAUAUAAA